ACCUUCGUGGUGUAGCGGUCAGCACGCUCGACGCGUAACCGAGAGGUCCAUGGUUCGAUUCCCGGCGAAGGCG
RNAcentral lists this transfer RNA (73 nucleotides) under Stegodyphus mimosarum. It matches the Rfam family "tRNA". From Rfam's summary of the family: Transfer RNA (tRNA) molecules are approximately 80 nucleotides in length. Their secondary structure includes four short double-helical elements and three loops (D, anti-codon, and T loops). Further hydrogen bonds mediate the characteristic L-shaped molecular structure. tRNAs have two regions of fundamental functional importance: the anti-codon, which is responsible for specific mRNA codon recognition, and the 3' end, to which the tRNAs corresponding amino acid is attached (by aminoacyl-tRNA synthetases). tRNAs cope with the degeneracy of the genetic code in two manners: having more than one tRNA (with a specific anti-codon) for a particular amino acid; and 'wobble' base-pairing, i.e. permitting non-standard base-pairing at the 3rd anti-codon position. The record is from Rfam by way of RNAcentral. Lineage: Eukaryota; Metazoa; Arthropoda; Arachnida; Araneae; Eresidae.